AUGAGGAUCAACGCCAACUUUUUUGAGAAAGAUGGAAGGUUGGGUGAUCCUGUGAUAAAGGGUUUGUUGAAGUAUUGGCCUGUUACAAAUUGCCAUAAGGAAGUUCUUUUUCUUGGUGAAUUAGAAGAGGUUCUUGAGUCAACUCAACCCCCUGAGUUUGUAAGAUGUAUGGCUUCUCUUUUCAGACAGAUUGGUCGAUGCCUUAACAGCCCUCACUUUCAGGUUGCGGAACGAGCACUCUAUUUCUGGAGCAAUGAGCACAUUAUAAAAGCUUAG
Non-coding RNA from Vicia faba (fava bean), 276 nucleotides. The record is from the annotation of a GenBank genome assembly. Lineage: Eukaryota; Viridiplantae; Streptophyta; Magnoliopsida; Fabales; Fabaceae.